AGAGAUUAAACCUCGUACCUUUUGCAUCAUGAUUUAGCUAGUGAACCUCAAGCGAAGAGCGCUUUAGUUUGAUAACCCGAAACUAGUAUGAGCUACUUCAAGACAGCCUAUAAGGGCGAACCCGUCUCUGUGGCAAAAGAGUGGGAAGAACUUUAAGUAGAGGUGACAGACCUACCGAAUCUAGUUAUAGCUGGUUGCCUGAGAAAUGGAUAGCAGUUCAGCCUCGCAAAUUCUUGAUAAUUUACGAGAGUUAGUCAAAGGAGGUACAGCCCCUUUGAAACAGGACACAACCUCUCCAGUAGGGUAAAGAUCAAAGUUAAUUAAGGAAAAUUAUUUCAGUGGGCCUAAAAGCAGCCACCCCCUUAGAAAGCGUUAAAGCUCAAAUUCUCUAUACCGACUAACAAAUCUCAACCCCCUAAUUUUACCAGGCCAUCCCAUGCACCCAUGGGAAUGAUACUGCUAAUAUGAGUAAUAAGAGAGGCCUCUCUCCUUGCACACGUGUAAAUCGGAAUGGACCUACCACCGAGAAUUAACGUCCCCAAACAAAGAGGGCAUUGUUCAUCAACUAGAAGACCCCACCCCGUUAACCCCACACAGGUGUGCCCAUAAGGAAAGACUAAGAGAAAGAGAAGGAACUCGGCAAACAAGCCUCGCCUGUUUACCAAAAACAUCACCUCUUGAAAAUAUAAGAGGCCCCGCCUGCCCAGUGACUCAGUGUUCAACGGCCGCGGUAUUUUGACCGUGCGAAGGUAGCGCAAUAACUUGUCCUUUAAUUGGGGACUAGUAUGAAUGGCAUCACGAGGGCUUAGCUGUCUCCUUUUUUAAGUCAAUGAAAUUGAUCUUCCCGUGCAAAAGCGGGAAUUUAAACAUAAGACGAGAAGACCCUAUGGAGCUUUAGACACCAAGACAGACCACGUUAAUUGUAGCCCCAUACGGCCCCGAACUAAAAGGUACCUGCUCUGAUGUCUUUGGUUGGGGCGACCGCGGAGAAGAAAAAAACCUCCCCUCCGCGCGGAAUGGGAGCACUCCUACAACCAAGAGCCACAGCUCGAACUAACAGAAAUCUCUGACCUUCAUGAUCCGGCUAAACGCCGAUCAUCGAACCGAGUUACCCUAGGGAUAACAGCGCAAUCCCCUUUCAGAGCCCAUAUCGACAAGGGGGUUUACGACCUCGAUGUUGGAUCAGGACAUCCUAAUGGUGCAG
This 1204-nucleotide ribosomal RNA is filed under the name Thysanophrys chiltonae (longsnout flathead). RNAcentral's name for it is "partial 16S ribosomal RNA". It matches the Rfam family "Bacterial large subunit ribosomal RNA", at positions 587 to 2558 of the family's 2925-position model. The record is from RNAcentral. Lineage: Eukaryota; Metazoa; Chordata; Actinopteri; Perciformes; Platycephalidae.